UACGUAGGGUGCGAGCGUUAAUCGGAAUUACUGGGCGUAAAGCGUGCGCAGGCGGUCCGCAAAGUCUGAUGUGAAAUCCCCGGGCUUAACCUGGGAAUGGCAUUUGGGACUGCAAGGCUUGAGUUUGGCAGAGGAGACUGGAAUUCCUGGUGUAGCAGUGAAAUGCGUAGAUAUCAGGAGGAAUACCGAUGGCGAAGGCAGGUCUCUGGGCUAGAACUGACGCUCAUGCACGAAAGCGUGGGGAGCAAACAGG
This 253-nucleotide ribosomal RNA is filed under the name uncultured bacterium. RNAcentral describes it as "partial 16S ribosomal RNA". It matches the Rfam family "Bacterial small subunit ribosomal RNA", at positions 524 to 776 of the family's 1533-position model. The record is from RNAcentral.